GUUGAUUCUGCCGGACCCGACUGCUAUCAGAGUGAGAUUAAGCCAUGCGAGUUAACGUAGCAAUACGUGGCGCACGGCUCAGUAACACGUAGUCAACAUGCCCAGAGGACGCGGAUAACCUCGGGAAACUGAGUCUAAACCGCGAUAAGUGAGGAUUUCUGGAAUGGUUCCUGACUAAAAUCUAUAUGGCCUCUGGAUUGGACUGCGGCCGAUCAGGCUGUUGGUGAGGUAAUGGCCCACCAAACCUGUAACCGGUACGGGCUCUGAGAGGAGGAGCCCGGAGAUGGGCACUGAGACAAGGGCCCAGGCCCUAUGGGGCGCAGCAGGCGCGAAACCUCUGCAAUAGGCGAAAGCCUGACAGGGUUACUCUGAGUGACUUUCGCUAAGAAAGUCUUUUGGCACCUUUAAAAAGGGUGCAGAAUAAGGGGUGGGCAAGUCUGGUGUCAGCCGCCGCGGUAAUACCAGCACCCCGAGUGGUCGGGACGAUUAUUGGGCCUAAAGCAUCCGUAGCCGGUUCUGCAAGUCCCCGUUAAAUCCAGCUGCUCAACAGAUGGGCCGCGGAGGAUACUACAGAGCUAGGAGGCAGGAGAGGCAAGCGGUACUCAGUGGGUAGGGGUAAAAUCCGUUGAUCCAUUGAAGACCACCAGUGGCGAAGGCGGCUUGCCAGAAUGCGCUCGACGGUGAGGGAUGAAAGCUGGGGGAGCAAACCGGAUUAGAUACCCGGGUAGUCCCAGCCGUAAACGAUGCAGACUCGGUGAUGGGUUGGCUUCGUGCUAACCCAGUGCCGCAGGGAAGCCGUUAAGUCUGCCGCCUGGGUAGUACGGUCGCAAGACUGAAACUUAAAGGAAUUGGCGGGGGAGCACCACAAGGGGUGAAGCCUGCGGUUCAAUUGGAUUCAACGCCGG
This 905-nucleotide ribosomal RNA is filed under the name uncultured archaeon. RNAcentral describes it as "bacterial SSU rRNA". It matches the Rfam family "Archaeal small subunit ribosomal RNA", at positions 7 to 921 of the family's 1478-position model. The record is from RNAcentral.